CUGGACCUUUCCUAAGUAUGAAUCAGAGUAUGUCUCUGGAGGGAAAAUUUUCUCUUGGAACUCCUUAAGGGGGUUUAAUUCAUCUGCCUCUGCCUGUAGAUGAUGUCAUGACGGGACUGAGAGGCCAAGAUCACACCAGGAGUCAGCAAUAGGUGAUCUCAUGGAGAAGGUUUCUAUAGUGUCCAUGCCUGUUCAGAGGGAUUAUAGCCCCAGAGGAAGAGGAUUUGCCUUUGCAUCCCUGCAUGUGAGGGUGCCCAGGCUUGGGUGGAAGGGUGCACAGGGAGCAGCACCCUCUGCAAGAGAGAUGGAUUUUCUGUCCUGGCAAGUGGGGAGCAGAGUGAGGGGACAGAGGUGUCCAGGUGAGCCUGAGCGAGCUGGUGCACACAGCCAGGUCCCGGGUGUGCAGUUCUGUGCUCUGUACCAGACCACCAGAACCUUUGGAGUGGUACUGGGGCAGGAGUCAUAUUCCACUGACUGUUGCGAGGUUGGCUGA
RNAcentral lists this long non-coding RNA (493 nucleotides) under Taeniopygia guttata (zebra finch). Its description in RNAcentral is "lncRNA (ENSTGUG00000023929.1)". The record is from RNAcentral. Lineage: Eukaryota; Metazoa; Chordata; Aves; Passeriformes; Estrildidae.